UAAUACGUAGGCAGCAAGCGUUGUUCGGAGUUACUGGGCGUAAAGAGUGCGUAGGCGGUCCCUUAAGUUUGGUGUGAAAUCUCCCGGCUCAACUGGGAGGGUGCGCCGAAAACUGGGGGGCUUGAGUGUCGGAGAGGUACGCGGAAUUCCUGGUGUAGCGGUGAAAUGCGUAGAUAUCAGGAGGAACACCUGUGGUGUAGACAGCGUACUGGACGAUAACUGACGCUGAGGCACGAAAGCGUGGGUAGCAAACAGGAUUAGAUACCCUGGUAGUCCACGCCCUAAACGAUGCAUACUUGGUGUGGGCCAUUCAUUUGGUCUGUGCCGGAGCUAACGCGUUAAGUAUGCCGCCUGGGGAGUACGGUCGCAAGGCUG
This 375-nucleotide ribosomal RNA is filed under the name uncultured bacterium. RNAcentral's name for it is "bacterial SSU rRNA". It matches the Rfam family "Bacterial small subunit ribosomal RNA", at positions 521 to 896 of the family's 1533-position model. The record is from RNAcentral.